GCAUCGAUGGUUUAGUGGUAGAAUGCUCGCCUCCCACGCGGGCGGCCCGGGUUCGAUUCCCGGUCGAUGCA
Molecule: transfer RNA, 71 nt
Filed under: Pristionchus pacificus
Lineage: Eukaryota; Metazoa; Nematoda; Chromadorea; Rhabditida; Neodiplogasteridae
Description: tRNA-Gly (CCC) (tRNA-Gly-CCC-1-1)
Rfam family: tRNA
About the family: Transfer RNA (tRNA) molecules are approximately 80 nucleotides in length. Their secondary structure includes four short double-helical elements and three loops (D, anti-codon, and T loops).
Source: Rfam by way of RNAcentral